GAGUUUGAUCAUGGCUCAGAUUGAACGCUGGCGGCAGGCCUAACACAUGCAAGUCGAACGGUAACAGGAAACAGCUUGCUGUUUCGCUGACGAGUGGCGGACGGGUGAGUAAUGUCUGGGAAACUGCCUGAUGGAGGGGGAUAACUACUGGAAACGGUAGCUAAUACCGCAUAACGUCGCAAGACCAAAGAGGGGGACCUUAGGGCCUCUUGCCAUCGGAUGUGCCCAGAUGGGAUUAGCUAGUAGGUGGGGUAAAGGCUCACCUAGGCGACGAUCCCUAGCUGGUCUGAGAGGAUGACCAGCCACACUGGAACUGAGACACGGUCCAGACUCCUACGGGAGGCAGCAGUGGGGAAUAUUGCACAAUGGGCGCAAGCCUGAUGCAGCCAUGCCGCGUGUAUGAAGAAGGCCUUCGGGUUGUAAAGUACUUUCAGCGGGGAGGAAGGGAGUAAAGUUAAUACCUUUGCUCAUUGACGUUACCCGCAGAAGAAGCACCGGCUAACUCCGUGCCAGCAGCCGCGGUAAUACGGAGGGUGCAAGCGUUAAUCGGAAUUACUGGGCGUAAAGCGCACGCAGGCGGUUUGUUAAGUCAGAUGUGAAAUCCCCGGGCUCAACCUGGGAACUGCAUCUGAUACUGGCAAGCUUGAGUCUCGUAGAGGGGGGUAGAAUUCCAGGUGUAGCGGUGAAAUGCGUAGAGAUCUGGAGGAAUACCGGUGGCGAAGGCGGCCCCCUGGACGAAGACUGACGCUCAGGUGCGAAAGCGUGGGGAGCAAACAGGAUUAGAUACCCUGGUAGUCCACGCCGUAAACGAUGUCGACUUGGAGGUUGUGCCCUUGAGGCGUGGCUUCCGGAGCUAACGCGUUAAGUCGACCGCCUGGGGAGUACGGCCGCAAGGUUAAAACUCAAAUGAAUUGACGGGGGCCCGCACAAGCGGUGGAGCAUGUGGUUUAAUUCGAUGCAACGCGAAGAACCUUACCUGGUCUUGACAUCCACGGAAGUUUUCAGAGAUGAGAAUGUGCCUUCGGGAACCGUGAGACAGGUGCUGCAUGGCUGUCGUCAGCUCGUGUUGUGAAAUGUUGGGUUAAGUCCCGCAACGAGCGCAACCCUUAUCCUUUGUUGCCAGCGGUCCGGCCGGGAACUCAAAGGAGACUGCCAGUGAUAAACUGGAGGAAGGUGGGGAUGACGUCAAGUCAUCAUGGCCCUUACGACCAGGGCUACACACGUGCUACAAUGGCGCAUACAAAGAGAAGCGACCUCGCGAGAGCAAGCGGACCUCAUAAAGUGCGUCGUAGUCCGGAUUGGAGUCUGCAACUCGACUCCAUGAAGUCGGAAUCGCUAGUAAUCGUGGAUCAGAAUGCCACGGUGAAUACGUUCCCGGGCCUUGUACACACCGCCCGUCACACCAUGGGAGUGGGUUGCAAAAGAAGUAGGUAGCUUAACCUUCGGGAGGGCGCUUACCACUUUGUGAUUCAUGACUGGGGUGAAGUCGUAACAAGGUAACCGUAGGGGAACCUGCGGUUGGAUCACC
This 1528-nucleotide ribosomal RNA is filed under the name Escherichia coli. Its description in RNAcentral is "bacterial SSU rRNA". It matches the Rfam family "Bacterial small subunit ribosomal RNA". RNAcentral also lists the same sequence under 1 other name. Lineage: Bacteria; Pseudomonadati; Pseudomonadota; Gammaproteobacteria; Enterobacterales; Enterobacteriaceae. The record is from RNAcentral.